Molecule: ribosomal RNA, 301 nt
Filed under: uncultured bacterium
Lineage: Bacteria
Description: partial 16S ribosomal RNA
Rfam family: Bacterial small subunit ribosomal RNA
Source: RNAcentral
CAGCCGCCGCGGGAAAACGUAGGGUGCAAGCGUUAAUCGGAAUUACUGGGCGUAAAGCGUGCGCAGGCGGUUAUAUAAGACAGAUGUGAAAUCCCCGGGCUCAACCUGGGAACUGCAUUUGUGACUGUAUAGCUAAAGUACGGCAGAGGGGGAUGGAAUUCCGCGUGUAGCAGUGAAAUGCGUAGAUAUGCGGAGGAACACCGAUGGCGAAGGCAAUCCCCUGGGCCUGUACUGACGCUCAUGCACGAAAGCGUGGGGAGCAAACAGGAUUAGAUACCCGUGUAGUCCCUGUCUCUUAUAA